RNAcentral lists this ribosomal RNA (253 nucleotides) under uncultured bacterium. RNAcentral describes it as "partial 16S ribosomal RNA". It matches the Rfam family "Bacterial small subunit ribosomal RNA", at positions 524 to 776 of the family's 1533-position model. The record is from RNAcentral.
UACGGAGGGUGCAAGCGUUGUCCGGAUUCACUGGGUUUAAAGGGUGCGUAGGAGGGCAGGUAAGUCAGUGGUGAAAUCUCCAAGCUUAACUUGGAAACUGCCGUUGAUACUAUCUGUCUUGAAUACCGUGGAGGUGAGCGGAAUAUGUCAUGUAGCGGUGAAAUGCUUAGAUAUGACAUAGAACACCAAUUGCGAAGGCAGCUCGCUACACGAAUAUUGACUCUGAGGCACGAAAGCGUGGGGAUCAAACAGG